This 459-nucleotide ribosomal RNA is filed under the name uncultured bacterium. RNAcentral's name for it is "partial 16S ribosomal RNA". It matches the Rfam family "Bacterial small subunit ribosomal RNA", at positions 338 to 795 of the family's 1533-position model. The record is from RNAcentral.
CCUACGGGAGGCAGCAGUGAGGAAUAUUGGUCAAUGGGCGAGAGCCUGAACCAGCCAAGUCGCGUGAGGGAUGACGGUCCUAUGGAUUGUAAACCUCUUUUGCCGGGGAGCAAAGUGCGGCACGUGUGCCGCUUCGAGAGUACCCGGAGAAAAAGCAUCGGCUAACUCCGUGCCAGCAGCCGCGGUAAUACGGAGGAUGCGAGCGUUAUCCGGAUUUAUUGGGUUUAAAGGGUGCGUAGGCGGAGGCUUAAGUCAGCGGUAAAAUUUCGGGGCUCAACCCCGUCGAGCCGUUGAAACUGGGUGGCUAGAGUGGGCGAGAAGUAUGCGGAAUGCGUGGUGUAGCGGUGAAAUGCAGAGAUAUCACGCAGAACUCCGAUUGCGAAGGCAGCGUACCGGCGCCCAACUGACGCUGAGGCACGAAGGCGUGGGUAUCGAACAGGAUUAGAUACCCGUGUAGUC